ACCAGCAGCCAUAUCACCCUGUAGCCCAAGACUGGUUGCCCACUGAAGCUAAGCAGGGCUGAGCCUGGUCAGUACCUGGAUGGGAGACCUCCUGGGAAAACUAGGUUGCUGCUGGAA
RNAcentral lists this ribosomal RNA (117 nucleotides) under Sinocyclocheilus anshuiensis. The record is from RNAcentral. Lineage: Eukaryota; Metazoa; Chordata; Actinopteri; Cypriniformes; Cyprinidae.